Molecule: ribosomal RNA, 488 nt
Filed under: uncultured bacterium
Lineage: Bacteria
Description: bacterial SSU rRNA
Rfam family: Bacterial small subunit ribosomal RNA
Source: RNAcentral
AUUGAACGCUGGCGGCAUGCCUAACACAUGCAAGUCGAACGGUAACGACGGGAGCUUGCUCCCGGGCGACGAGUGGCGGACGGGUGAGUAAUACUUAGGAAUCUGCCCAGUAGUGGGGGACAACUCGAGGAAACUCGAGCUAAUACCGCAUACGCCCUACGGGGGAAAGUGGAGGAUCUUCGGACUUCACGCUAUUGGAUGAGCCUAAGUCGGAUUAGCUUGUAGGUAGGGUAACGGCCUACCUAGGCAACGAUCCGUAGCUGGUCUGAGAGGACGAUCAGCCACACUGGAACUGAGACACGGUCCAGACUCCUACGGGAGGCAGCAGUGGGGAAUAUUGGACAAUGGGCGCAAGCCUGAUCCAGCAAUGCCGCGUGUGUGAAGAAGGCCUGCGGGUUGUAAAGCACUUUCAGUGGAGAAGAAAAGCUUACGGUUAAUACCCGUGAGUCUUGACGUAACCCACAGAAGAAGCACCGGCUAACUCCGUG